UUAAGCGACUAAGCGUACACGGUGGAUGCCCUGGCAGUCAGAGGCGAUGAAGGACGUGCUAAUCUGCGAAAAGCGUCGGUAAGGUGAUAUGAACCGUUAUAACCGGCGAUGUCCGAAUGGGGAAACCCAGUGCAAUUCGUUGCACUAUCGUUAACUGAAUACAUAGGUUAACGAGGCGAACCGGGGGAACUGAAACAUCUAAGUACCCCGAGGAAAAGAAAUCAACCGAGAUUCCCCCAGUAGCGGCGAGCGAACGGGGAGCAGCCCAGAGUCUGAAUCAGCUUGUGUGUUAGUGGAACGGUCUGGAAAGUCCGACGGUACAGGGUGAUAGUCCCGUACACCAAAAUGCACAGGUUGUGAACUCGAAGAGUAGGGCGGGACACGUGGUAUCCUGUCUGAAUAUGGGGGGACCAUCCUCCAAGGCUAAAUACUCCUGACUGACCGAUAGUGAACCAGUACCGUGAGGGAAAGGCGAAAAGAACCCCGGCGAGGGGAGUGAAAAAGAACCUGAAACCGUGUACGUACAAGCAGUGGGAGCACCUUCGGGUGUGACUGCGUACCUUUUGUAUAAUGGGUCAGCGACUUAUAUUCUGUAGCAAGGUUAACCGUAUAGGGGAGCCGCAGGGAAACCGAGUCUUAACUGGGCGUUAAGUUGCAGGGUAUAGACCCGAAACCCGGUGAUCUAGCCAUGGGCAGGUUGAAGGUUGGGUAACACUAACUGGAGGACCGAACCGACUAAUGUUGAAAAAUUAGCGGAUGACUUGUGGCUGGGGGUGAAAGGCCAAUCAAACCGGGAGAUAGCUGGUUCUCCCCGAAAGCUAUUUAGGUAGCGCCUCGUGAAUUCAUCUUCGGGGGUAGAGCACUGUUUCGGCUAGGGGGUCAUCCCGACUUACCAACCCGAUGCAAACUACGAAUACCGAAGAAUGUUAUCACGGGAGACACACGGCGGGUGCUAACGUCCGUCGUGAAGAGGGAAACAACCCAGACCGCCAGCUAAGGUCCCAAAGUCAUGGUUAAGUGGGAAACGAUGUGGGAAGGCACAGACAGCCAGGAUGUUGGCUUAGAAGCAGCCAUCAUUUAAAGAAAGCGUAAUAGCUCACUGGUCGAGUCGGCCUGCGCGGAAGAUGUAACGGGGCUAAACCAUGCACCGAAGCUGCGGCAGCGACACUAUGUGUUGUUGGGUAGGGGAGCGUUCUGUAAGCCUGCGAAGGUGACCUGUGAGGGUUGCUGGAGGUAUCAGAAGUGCGAAUGCUGACAUAAGUAACGAUAAAGCGGGUGAAAAGCCCGCUCGCCGGAAGACCAAGGGUUCCUGUCCAACGUUAAUCGGGGCAGGGUGAGUCGACCCCUAAGGCGAGGCCGAAAGGCGUAGUCGAUGGGAAACAGGUUAAUAUUCCUGUACUUGGUGUUACUGCGAAGGGGGGACGGAGAAGGCUAUGUUAGCCGGGCGACGGUUGUCCCGGUUUAAGCAUGUAGGCUGGUUNUCCAGGCAAAUCCGGAUAAUCAAGGCUGAGGUGUGAUGACGAGGCACUACGGUGCUGAAGUAACAAAUGCCCUGCUUCCAGGAAAAGCCUCUAAGCAUCAGGUAACAUCAAAUCGUACCCCAAACCGACACAGGUGGUCAGGUAGAGAAUACCAAGGCGCUUGAGAGAACUCGGGUGAAGGAACUAGGCAAAAUGGUGCCGUAACUUCGGGAGAAGGCACGCUGGUGUGUAGGUGAAGUCCCUGCGGAUGGAGCUGAGACCAGUCGAAGAUACCAGCUGGCUGCAACUGUUUAUUAAAAACACAGCACUGUGCAAACACGAAAGUGGACGUAUACGGUGUGACGCCUGCCCGGUGCCGGAAGGUUAAUUGAUGGGGUUAUCCGUAAGGAGAAGCUCUUGAUCGAAGCCCCGGUAAACGGCGGCCGUAACUAUAACGGUCCUAAGGUAGCGAAAUUCCUUGUCGGGUAAGUUCCGACCUGCACGAAUGGCGUAAUGAUGGCCAGGCUGUCUCCACCCGAGACUCAGUGAAAUUGAACUCGCUGUGAAGAUGCAGUGUACCCGCGGCAAGACGGAAAGACCCCGUGAACCUUUACUAUAGCUUGACACUGAACAUUGAGCCUUGAUGUGUAGGAUAGGUGGGAGGCUUUGAAGCGUGGACGCCAGUCUGCGUGGAGCCAACCUUGAAAUACCACCCUUUAAUGUUUGAUGUUCUAACGUUGGCCCCUUACCGGGGUUGCGGACAGUGUCUGGUGGGUAGUUUGACUGGGGCGGUCUCCUCCCAAAGCGUAACGGAGGAGCACGAAGGUUAGCUAAUCCUGGUCGGACAUCAGGAGGUUAGUGCAAUGGCAUAAGCUAGCUUGACUGCGAGCGUGACGGCGCGAGCAGGUGCGAAAGCAGGUCAUAGUGAUCCGGUGGUUCUGAAUGGAAGGGCCAUCGCUCAACGGAUAAAAGGUACUCCGGGGAUAACAGGCUGAUACCGCCCAAGAGUUCAUAUCGACGGCGGUGUUUGGCACCUCGAUGUCGGCUCAUCACAUCCUGGGGCUGAAGUAGGUCCCAAGGGUAUGGCUGUUCGCCAUUUAAAGUGGUACGCGAGCUGGGUUUAGAACGUCGUGAGACAGUUCGGUCCCUAUCUGCCGUGGGCGCUGGAGAAUUGAGGGGGGCUGCUCCUAGUACGAGAGGACCGGAGUGGACGCAUCACUGGUGUUCGGGUUGUCAUGCCAAUGGCACUGCCCGGUAGCUAAAUGCGGAAGAGAUAAGUGCUGAAAGCAUCUAAGCACGAAACUUGCCCCGAGAUGAGUUCUCCCUGAGACUUUAAGUCUCCUGAAGGAACGUUAAAGACGAUGACGUUGAUAGGCCGGGUGUGUAAGCGCAGCGAUGCGUUGAGCUAACCGGUACUAAUGAACCGUGAGGCUUAACCUU
Molecule: ribosomal RNA, 2900 nt
Filed under: Klebsiella pneumoniae
Lineage: Bacteria; Pseudomonadati; Pseudomonadota; Gammaproteobacteria; Enterobacterales; Enterobacteriaceae
Description: bacterial LSU rRNA
Rfam family: Bacterial large subunit ribosomal RNA
Source: RNAcentral